AGCUAGGAUGUUGGCUUAGAAGCAGCCAUCAUUUAAAGAAAGCGUAAUAGCUCACUAGUCGAGUCGGCCUGCGCGGAAGAUGUAACGGGGCUCAAAUAUAGCACCGAAGCUGCGGCAUCAGAAUUUAUUCUGUUGGGUAGGGGAGCGUUGUGUAAGCGGAUGAAGGUGGCUCGAGAGGGUUGCUGGACGUAUCACAAGUGCGAAUGCUGACAUAAGUAACGAUAAAACGAGUGAAAAACUCGUUCGCCGGAAGACCAAGGGUUCCUGUCCAACGUUAAUCGGGGCAGGGUGAGUCGGCCCCUAAGGCGAGGCUGAAAAGCGUAGUCGAUGGGAAACGGGUUAAUAUUCCCGUACUUGGAUAAACUGCGAUGUGGGGACGGAGAAGGUUAGGUUAGCAGACUGUUGGAUGUCUGUUUAAGGUGGUAGGUGGAAGACUUAGGCAAAUCCGGGUCUUUAUAAACACUGAGAGCUGAUGACGAGGUCUUAAGGGACUGAAGUAACUGAUACCCUGCUUCCAGGAAAAGCCACUAAGCUUCAGGUUUAUCUAAACCGUACUGAAAACCGACACAGGUGGUCAGGUAGAGAAUACUCAGGCGCUUGAGAGAACUCGGGUGAAGGAACUAGGCAAAAUAGCACCGUAACUUCGGGAGAAGGUGCGCUUACAGUAAUUGUAGUCCCUCGCGGAUGAAGGUGAAGUAAGUCGAAGAUACCAGCUGGCUGCAACUGUUUAUUAAAAACACAGCACUCUGCAAACACGAAAGUGGACGUAUAGGGUGUGAUGCCUGCCCGGUGCUGGAAGGUUAAUUGAUGGUGUUAUCGAAAGAGAAGCUCCUGAUCGAAGCCCCAGUAAACGGCGGCCGUAACUAUAACGGUCCUAAGGUAGCGAAAUUCCUUGUCGGGUAAGUUCCGACCUGCACGAAUGGCAUAAUGAUGGCCAGGCUGUCUCCACCCGAGACUCAGUGAAAUUGAAAUCGCCGUGAAGAUGCGGUGUACCCGCGGCUAGACGGAAAGACCCCGUGAACCUUUACUAUAGCUUGACACUGAACAUUGAAUUUUGAUGUGUAGGAUAGGUGGGAGCCUUUGAAGCAGUGACGCCAGUCAUUGUGGAGGCGACCUUGAAAUACCACCCUUUAACGUUUGAUGUUCUAACGAAGUGCCUGAAACGGGUACUCGGACAGUGUCUGGUGGGUAGUUUGACUGGGGCGGUCUCCUCCCAAAGCGUAACGGAGGAGCACGAAGGUUUGCUAAUGACGGUCGGACAUCGUCAGGUUAGUGCAAUGGUAUAAGCAAGCUUAACUGCGAGACAGACAAGUCGAGCAGGUGCGAAAGCAGGUCAUAGUGAUCCGGUGGUUCUGAAUGGAAGGGCCAUCGCUCAACGGAUAAAAGGUACUCCGGGGAUAACAGGCUGAUACCGCCCAAGAGUUCAUAUCGACGGCGGUGUUUGGCACCUCGAUGUCGGCUCAUCACAUCCUGGGGCUGAAGUAGGUCCCAAGGGUAUGGCUGUUCGCCAUUUAAAGUGGUACGCGAGCUGGGUUUAGAACGUCGUGAGACAGUUCGGUCCCUAUCUGCCGUGGGCGUUGGAUGAUUGAUUGGGGCUGCUCCUAGUACGAGAGGACCGGAGUGGACGCAUCACUGGUGUUCCAGUUGUCUCGCCAGAGGCAUUGCUGGGUAGCUAAAUGCGGAAGAGAUAAGUGCUGAAAGCAUCUAAGCACGAAACUUGCCAAGAGAUGAGUCAUCCCUGACUUUAAGUCAGUAAGGGUUGUUGU
This 1766-nucleotide ribosomal RNA is filed under the name Pasteurella multocida. RNAcentral's name for it is "bacterial LSU rRNA". It matches the Rfam family "Bacterial large subunit ribosomal RNA", at positions 1091 to 2841 of the family's 2925-position model. Lineage: Bacteria; Pseudomonadati; Pseudomonadota; Gammaproteobacteria; Pasteurellales; Pasteurellaceae. The record is from RNAcentral.